RNAcentral lists this long non-coding RNA (987 nucleotides) under Mus caroli (Ryukyu mouse). RNAcentral's name for it is "lncRNA (MGP_CAROLIEiJ_G0003855.1)". The record is from RNAcentral. Lineage: Eukaryota; Metazoa; Chordata; Mammalia; Rodentia; Muridae.
UGGAUGUGCCCAGAGGGCGCCCUUCCUUCAGAGGCCUCGUUUGCCCGACACUUACGACAGGCCUUAGGACGUAAGGCGUGGACGUGCGUGACGUCACCCUCUGGCCUGCGAGAUGACGAGGGCGAGUAGCGGGGCCGCUGCUCCCUCGGGAUCCGGGUGUGGCUCGGCUCAGGUAACACCCGGCCCUGAGGACUCCUUCGGCCUCCGCCCACGGGGAGUGCUGAGACCGCCGGCCCGUGUGCUGGCGACCUUUACCCAGGCUUGGUCAAGGCUUCCUGGCUGGCGCAACUGCACGGGCCUCGCAGUGGACGCCUGCUGGUGACCUUUACUCUGUUAAACCGUCUUCCUGCUCUCCCAGUGAGAGCCUCAAAACUGGGGAAGUGAAUAGAUGAACUGGGAGAUGUCUGACUCGACUUAGAAUUUCCGAAGCGUGCACACUAUGGCUGAGUUUCAGACUGAAAAACCAGAGAAAACAGGUAGAAGUUACAAGAAAGAAAAAGUCUUUUUAGAAACACCACAAAGAAAAUGAUCAUCAAUCAUUUUCAAAAUGAUCAUCGAUCAUUCCAAAAGUAGAAUGGAUUGCCUGUGUGGAAGGUUUUUGUUUUAUGAGUGUGUGUAUAUGCAUGACUAUAUGUAUGGUACACGUGUGUGCAGUUGCCCUAGGAGGCCAGGAGAGGGCACUGUAUCUUCAGGAACUGGAAUUACUGGUGGUUACAAGCUGCCUAAUGUAGGAUAUGGGAGCCAGACUCACAUCUUGAGAACCAAACUUGCGUCCUUAGGAAGAACAGCAAGUGCUCUUAACAGAUGAAGUAUCUUUCCAGGCCUACUUUGGAAGUGUUUAAACUGAGAUGAGGUGGCUUUCUGUCCAUUUCCCUAAGAAUAAAGAAACAAGUUUGUGUGUGUGAGAAUAAAGAAACAAGUUUGUGUGUGUGUUUCUACUCAUUCUAUUGUGAAGCCACAAGUUGACAUUAAACAUCUUCCUUGACC